This 2269-nucleotide ribosomal RNA is filed under the name Staphylococcus aureus. RNAcentral's name for it is "partial 23S ribosomal RNA". It matches the Rfam family "Bacterial large subunit ribosomal RNA", at positions 653 to 2925 of the family's 2925-position model. Lineage: Bacteria; Bacillati; Bacillota; Bacilli; Caryophanales; Staphylococcaceae. The record is from RNAcentral.
AGUAAAUGUGGAGCCGUAGCGAAAGCGAGUCUGAAUAGGGCGUUUAGUAUUUGGUCGUAGACCCGAAACCAGGUGAUCUACCCUUGGUCAGGUUGAAGUUCAGGUAACACUGAAUGGAGGACCGAACCGACUUACGUUGAAAAGUGAGCGGAUGAACUGAGGGUAGCGGAGAAAUUCCAAUCGAACCUGGAGAUAGCUGGUUCUCUCCGAAAUAGCUUUAGGGCUAGCCUCAAGUGAUGAUUAUUGGAGGUAGAGCACUGUUUGGACGAGGGGCCCCUCUCGGGUUACCGAAUUCAGACAAACUCCGAAUGCCAAUUAAUUUAACUUGGGAGUCAGAACAUGGGUGAUAAGGUCCGUGUUCGAAAGGGAAACAGCCCAGACCACCAGCUAAGGUCCCAAAAUAUAUGUUAAGUGGAAAAGGAUGUGGCGUUGCCCAGACAACUAGGAUGUUGGCUUAGAAGCAGCCAUCAUUUAAAGAGUGCGUAAUAGCUCACUAGUCGAGUGACACUGCGCCGAAAAUGUACCGGGGCUAAACAUAUUACCGAAGCUGUGGAUUGUCCUUUGGACAAUGGUAGGAGAGCGUUCUAAGGGCGUUGAAGCAUGAUCGUAAGGACAUGUGGAGCGCUUAGAAGUGAGAAUGCCGGUGUGAGUAGCGAAAGACGGGUGAGAAUCCCGUCCACCGAUUGACUAAGGUUUCCAGAGGAAGGCUCGUCCGCUCUGGGUUAGUCGGGUCCUAAGCUGAGGCCGACAGGCGUAGGCGAUGGAUAACAGGUUGAUAUUCCUGUACCACCUAUAAUCGUUUUAAUCGAUGGGGGGACGCAGUAGGAUAGGCGAAGCGUGCGAUUGGAUUGCACGUCUAAGCAGUAAGGCUGAGUAUUAGGCAAAUCCGGUACUCGUUAAGGCUGAGCUGUGAUGGGGAGAAGACAUUGUGUCUUCGAGUCGUUGAUUUCACACUGCCGAGAAAAGCCUCUAGAUAGAAAAUAGGUGCCCGUACCGCAAACCGACACAGGUAGUCAAGAUGAGAAUUCUAAGGUGAGCGAGCGAACUCUCGUUAAGGAACUCGGCAAAAUGACCCCGUAACUUCGGGAGAAGGGGUGCUCUUUAGGGUUAACGCCCAGAAGAGCCGCAGUGAAUAGGCCCAAGCGACUGUUUAUCAAAAACACAGGUCUCUGCUAAACCGUAAGGUGAUGUAUAGGGGCUGACGCCUGCCCGGUGCUGGAAGGUUAAGAGGAGUGGUUAGCUUCUGCGAAGCUACGAAUCGAAGCCCCAGUAAACGGCGGCCGUAACUAUAACGGUCCUAAGGUAGCGAAAUUCCUUGUCGGGUAAGUUCCGACCCGCACGAAAGGCGUAACGAUUUGGGCACUGUCUCAACGAGAGACUCGGUGAAAUCAUAGUACCUGUGAAGAUGCAGGUUACCCGCGACAGGACGGAAAGACCCCGUGGAGCUUUACUGUAGCCUGAUAUUGAAAUUCGGCACAGCUUGUACAGGAUAGGUAGGAGCCUUUGAAACGUGAGCGCUAGCUUACGUGGAGGCGCUGGUGGGAUACUACCCUAGCUGUGUUGGCUUUCUAACCCGCACCACUUAUCGUGGUGGGAGACAGUGUCAGGCGGGCAGUUUGACUGGGGCGGUCGCCUCCUAAAAGGUAACGGAGGCGCUCAAAGGUUCCCUCAGAAUGGUUGGAAAUCAUUCAUAGAGUGUAAAGGCAUAAGGGAGCUUGACUGCGAGACCUACAAGUCGAGCAGGGUCGAAAGACGGACUUAGUGAUCCGGUGGUUCCGCAUGGAAGGGCCAUCGCUCAACGGAUAAAAGCUACCCCGGGGAUAACAGGCUUAUCUCCCCCAAGAGUUCACAUCGACGGGGAGGUUUGGCACCUCGAUGUCGGCUCAUCGCAUCCUGGGGCUGUAGUCGGUCCCAAGGGUUGGGCUGUUCGCCCAUUAAAGCGGUACGCGAGCUGGGUUCAGAACGUCGUGAGACAGUUCGGUCCCUAUCCGUCGUGGGCGUAGGAAAUUUGAGAGGAGCUGUCCUUAGUACGAGAGGACCGGGAUGGACAUACCUCUGGUGUACCAGUUGUCGUGCCAACGGCAUAGCUGGGUAGCUAUGUGUGGACGGGAUAAGUGCUGAAAGCAUCUAAGCAUGAAGCCCCCCUCAAGAUGAGAUUUCCCAACUUCGGUUAUAAGAUCCCUCAAAGAUGAUGAGGUUAAUAGGUUCGAGGUGGAAGCAUGGUGACAUGUGGAGCUGACGAAUACUAAUCGAUCGAAGACUUAAUCAA